RNAcentral lists this ribosomal RNA (475 nucleotides) under uncultured bacterium. Its description in RNAcentral is "SSU rRNA". It matches the Rfam family "Bacterial small subunit ribosomal RNA", at positions 26 to 518 of the family's 1533-position model. The record is from RNAcentral.
AGAAUCAACGCUGGCGGCGUGCCUAACACAUGCAAGUCGAACGAGAAAGUGGAGCAAUCCAUGAGUAAAGUGGCGACCGGGUGAGUAACACGUGACUAACCUACCUUCAAGUGGGGGAUAACCUCGGGAAACCGGGGCUAAUACCGCAUAACAUCUUUGGAGUGGAAAUUCUGAAGAUCAAAGGAGCAAUUCGCUGGAAGAGGGGGUCGCGGCUGAUUAGCUAGUUGGCGGGGUAAUGGCCCACCAAGGCUUUGAUCGGUAGCCGGCCUGAGAGGGCGCACGGCCACACUGGAACUGAAACACGGUCCAGACUCCUACGGGAGGCAGCAGUGGGGAAUUUUGCGCAAUGGGGGAAACCCUGACGCAGCAACGCCGCGUGGAGGAUGAAGUCCCUUGGGACGUAAACUCCUUUCGAUCGGGACGAUAAUGACGGUACCGGAAGAAGAAGCCCGGCUAACUUCGCGCCAGCAGCCGC